CCUACGGGGGGCUGCAGUGGGGAAUAUUGCACAAUGGGCGCAAGCCUGAUGCAGCCAUGCCGCGUGUGUGAAGAAGGCCUUCGGGUUGUAAAGCACUUUCAGCGGGGAGGAAGGCGGUGAGGUUAAUAACCUCAUCGAUUGACGUUACCCGCAGAAGAAGCACCGGCUAACUCCGUGCCAGCAGCCGCGGUAAUACGGAGGGUGCAAGCGUUAAUCGGAAUUACUGGGCGUAAAGCGCACGCAGGCGGUCUGUCAAGUCGGAUGUGAAAUCCCCGGGCUCAACCUGGGAACUGCAUUCGAAACUGGCAGGCUAGAGUCUUGUAGAGGGGGGUAGAAUGCCAGGUGUAGCGGUGAAAUGCGUAGAGAUCUGGAGGAAUACCGGUGGCGAAGGCGGCCCCCUGGACAAAGACUGACGCUCAGGUGCGAAAGCGUGGGGAGCAAACAGGAUUAGAUACCCGGGUAGUC
This 465-nucleotide ribosomal RNA is filed under the name uncultured Klebsiella sp. RNAcentral describes it as "bacterial SSU rRNA". It matches the Rfam family "Bacterial small subunit ribosomal RNA", at positions 338 to 795 of the family's 1533-position model. The record is from RNAcentral. Lineage: Bacteria; Pseudomonadati; Pseudomonadota; Gammaproteobacteria; Enterobacterales; Enterobacteriaceae.